This 366-nucleotide ribosomal RNA is filed under the name Salmonella enterica subsp. enterica serovar Heidelberg. Its description in RNAcentral is "bacterial SSU rRNA". It matches the Rfam family "Bacterial small subunit ribosomal RNA", at positions 87 to 456 of the family's 1533-position model. RNAcentral also lists the same sequence under 3 other names. The record is from RNAcentral. Lineage: Bacteria; Pseudomonadati; Pseudomonadota; Gammaproteobacteria; Enterobacterales; Enterobacteriaceae.
GCUGACGAGUGGCGGACGGGUGAGUAAUGUCUGGGAAACUGCCUGAUGGAGGGGGAUAACUACUGGAAACGGUGGCUAAUACCGCAUAACGUCGCAAGACCAAAGAGGGGGACCUUCGGGCCUCUUGCCAUCAGAUGUGCCCAGAUGGGAUUAGCUUGUUGGUGAGGUAACGGCUCACCAAGGCGACGAUCCCUAGCUGGUCUGAGAGGAUGACCAGCCACACUGGAACUGAGACACGGUCCAGACUCCUACGGGAGGCAGCAGUGGGGAAUAUUGCACAAUGGGCGCAAGCCUGAUGCAGCCAUGCCGCGUGUAUGAAGAAGGCCUUCGGGUUGUAAAGUACUUUCAGCGGGGAGGAAGGUGUUG